GCAGCUUAAAGCAGUGGUCCCUGCCACAAUACCUCAUCGGCCCAUGCCGAGCCGACUCCUGGCCCAUGCCAGCCGUCGUGCCGCACCACCCCGACGGCUGCCCCGCGGUAGCACCAUCCAAGAAGAAGACAAGGAAAAUUAUUUUUUUCUUACCUCAGUGCGGCACGAAGAAGACGAAGAAAGCAACGAAAGACGGUCAUUUGCACGAGCAAGAUGUAGAAGAUUGCUAGAGGAGGGGGAACAAAUAUCCUCUAAGCUAUCUCUCUCUGUAGGGUAGAAUAAAUCGCUCUCUGAUGCGAAAAUUAACUUAACACACAAAUUAAACCCUCUUGUUGUCAAUUGUAGUAUAAAUGCAAGUAAGGAUCGUUCUAAACCGAGGAUUAGAAGGGCUUGCUAAAACCUCUAAACUGACUUAAAAACAUAUAAACAAAGUUAAAAACACUAAACUAGACUCAAAGAACUUAAAACAAACUCAAAAGACUCAGAACAAGCUAAAAACGCUCAAAUCUGCCUAAAAACACAAACUGGGCAGAUUUGGACUCUAACACACUUUUGGGACACCUAAAAACAUAAAUCAAAACAGAUUUUGACUAAUAAAACACUUUAAAGUAAAGGGGGUUUUGGUUUUGAUGAAUUUGAAAACAAAACAAGUGAAUUAAAGAACUAAUGAAAUCUGCACGAAUUUGAGUAAAUUGAAAUGAUGGAAGGCUAGCUAGGAGAUUCUUCUCCACACAUGACAUACUUGCACAUAAACCAAUUUUCAGUUGUUCUUUUGAUCAAUCAUGAAACUCACCACCCAAGGUUAAUUAAGUCCGCUUAAAUUAACCUUCAAGUUCUCCUUAAGUUAUUGAAUUGGAUGGGAAAGCGCAUACAACAAUUCAAGCAUUCUUCAAAAGUUCUUUACGUGAACAGCACAAUAAAGAUACAAUCAAAGAUCAUUAAGCAUUAUGAAAACUAUAAGUAUUGACGAGGCAUUCGUUACUAUGAUGAGCAUGAAACUCCUGCCAAGAAUUUAUUUAACGCGAUCGUUUAUAAGCGACCCCCACUACUUGUGAAUAUAAGUUUGUAACUAUUAGGUAAAUCUCCCUUAUACUCUAGCAUCAUAUUCAUGCAUGCAAACUAAUUGUGCACUCUUAAUUAACAUACAUGAAUAAGUUAUCAAUCAAGCAGUUAAACAAAUUGAAUUCACAACUUAUGAAAUCACAACUGAAGGUAAUCAAAUCAUAUUGCAAGCAUGAAUAUGGUUUCGAAUUCCCCCCUAACUAAGGGGGGUUAAGUUCCUCAUACUCACAAAGCAAAGAUAAACAAAUUUAGACAUUGAAAACAAAAGAAUGAAAACACCUAAAAACGCUCCAACAAUCCAACUUGAAUGACAAGCACAUCCAAGGGUCCUCCUUCUUCUAUUUAUAGGCUAGGGAAAUGACCACCAUCUAAUUAAGGUGGUAGUGGUGUAUGUUGUGGUAAUGAGUGGAUGUAAUGGGUGUAGUGGGUGGAUGUAAUGGGUGUAGUGGAUGGAUGUUUGGUAAUGAGUGGAUGUAAUGGGUGUAAUGGAUAAGUGUUUGGUAAUGAGUGGAUGUAAUGGGUGUAGUGGAUGGAUGUUUGGUAAUGAUUGGAUGUAAUGGGUGUAGUGGGUGGAUGUUUGGUAAUGAGUGGAUGUAAUGGGUGUAGUGGAUGGAUGUUUGAAGUUGUAGGUUAACACACUUGCACACACACAUGCUGAUUUCUAGCCUUCAAAUCUUCAAAAACGUCCAUCCUCAUGUCCCCAUGCUUGCACUAUCCAAUCUUGGCCCAAAAAUGCUCCAAAAUGCUCCAAAUAGCACUUUGUUGCUAACUUUGUUAUUUGAACCUAUAAACACACGAAAAUAACUUAAAAUACAUAAUUGAGUAAGAAAUAACAACAUAAAUGCACAAGAACAAACUAACUAAGUCGCAUAAAUAUGCUCCUAUCACUCUCCAAAGUUUAUUUAACAACCCACUUCAGGUGGACUUAAAUAGGUUUUGAGAGAAAUUUAUUUCCCUUUCCUAGAAGGAUCUAAUUUCACAUUAAAAAGGGAAUCUACAUCAAAAUAGGAAGCAGUUCUAAGUUUCGUAGAGCAAGAAGAUCUCUACACCUGCUGCCCUUUCCUACAAGCAGCCCAGCAAGUGUGGGGGCAUUUGUGGAGCCAAAAAUAAUCAUAAGGCGACACGUGGAUUUUUUAGUAAAACAUGACCAAACUACCCUUGAGGCACACCGGGAUUCCUACACGCGAGCAGCUAAAAAAUGCUCCAAAAAGGUAACAAUUCAAUAUUCAUCUCAUCAAAUCCUGUAACCUCCAAAAUAUUUACUCCAAAAUUAUAUUAAUUGGUUAAUUAAUGGAUUAAUUACCCAAUUAAUCCUUUAAACAUCAAUUAAAACAUCCAAAUAACCACAACAUAUAUCCCACUCAAUCCCAAAACUAGUGAUGGACCGGCCACCCCCUUUUUCCCUAGCUUUUCACACUUUUUUCCAUUUUAUUACCCUAUUUACACAACUAUUCAAUUUUGUAACCUCCUAUUUAUUUCUUUUAUACUUAAUUAGCCAAUAAAUUGGCUAAUUAAGCCAAAACUAUAACCACCAAAACCCAUUAGUGGCCGGCCACACCUUGGGAAAAUUGGGCAAAGCCUAACCCUAUAAAUAGGCACCCAUUCUCACCAAAAACCUAUUCGAACACUUUGUCAAAAAUCCCAAAAUUCUCUAAACACUAUUUCUCUCUAAAUUCUAACUUUGGCAUCGGAGGUUCUUCGGCCAAAACCCCUCAUCGUGGGCGCGUGAGGCUCUUGACCUUAACCUAAGGUGUUAAUUGUUUUGUAGAUGCAAAAUUGUCCAAGAUCAAAGAGGAAGAAAUUUGCAUCCACAGACCUUAUGAUCAGAAUCAUCAAUUUGGAAGCUCCAUUGGUGCAUCAAACCAACGAGACAUGUCCAAGAUCACCACUAUUGCAAGAAACGAGGUCACAUAAUUGCAGAUUCUUGUAAGCUGCAGAAUGUAAAUUCUCCCUGAAAGUUAGACACAGGUCAUCUUGUUGCUCCCCUAGAGACGCCUACUGAAUUGGAGACAAUGACAUGAUAACGGAAAAUCAAAGCCUAGCUCAAAGGUUUGGUCUAGUUAAAAGUAUAUAGCUCAAGGAUAGGAUUGGUCCAUAACCAAACAUGUGGAUAAACAUUUUAAUUCUUGUAAGAUUCUUUACACUAAUCGAAUGGGUUUUGGUAAAUUUAUCAUCUUCGGUUUCUUGCUAUUGAUUAAAAAAAAUUAUUAGACUAUUGGAUUGUUGAAAUAAGGUUAUUCGAAAAUCGUCCUAUGUUACAUAACUUUAUAUUAUGCAAUUUCAUUCUUUUACAUUAAUGGAGAUUAAAUAACAAAACAAAAUUAUGACUAAUUAAGGUUCGGCUUACAUAAAUGACCCACUACUGAAUUACUAUUGAUUUUAUGACCCCAUCUCAAUAUUGUUGUUAAAAAAAAUAGAUAACAAAGUUGGAUUAUAUCUUGUGGUAGUACAUUGUCAAAUAAACAAAGAAUCAUCCAUAAAAAAGGGGCAUAAUUCGUCAAUGAAAAAUGAGGUCUACAAAUUAAUGUGGAUCAGUAGGAUUUGACCAAGAAACAAACCCUAAUAUCAUCACCUUUCCUAGUACUUGAAGGAAACAUAAUGAUGACUUGCUGAAUGAUCAGGAUCUAAAGGUGAUGACAACGACAGAUUUACCAAGGAUUAAGGAAAGAGUAAUGAAAGCUAACCGUGAAAAUGGAGAAGUCCAGUUUUUUGGUUGCCAAUAUGCAAAAACAUGACAAACGAUUGUACCCAUUGUGUUCUUUUUUAUUCAUUUUUUCUUUCUUGAAAUGAAAAGUAAAUGCAGCUAAAAUGGAAUUUGUGCUUUUUCCAGAGGCACAACAAAUUUAAAAGGGUUAAUCUCAGUUUACUACCCUGAAGUUUAUGGGUUUUUAACAUUUGAUGCAUGAAGUUUUUUAUCCCAUAGUGGUACCUGAAGUUGCAAUUUUGGAAUACUUUAAUACAUCCGUUAAAGUUGCUGUUAA
Molecule: long non-coding RNA, 4043 nt
Filed under: Malus domestica (apple)
Lineage: Eukaryota; Viridiplantae; Streptophyta; Magnoliopsida; Rosales; Rosaceae
Description: long non-coding RNA (MDOM_LNC012579)
Source: RNAcentral